CCUCCACGACUCGGCCGCGUCGACGUUUGAUCCUGGCUCAGGAUGAACGCUGGCGGCGUGCUUAACGCAUGCAAGUCGAACGAUGAAGCCCAGCUUGCUGGGUGGAUUAGUGGCGAACGGGUGAGUAACACGUGAGUAACCUGCCCUUAACUCUGGGAUAAGCCUGGGAAACUGGGUCUAAUACCGGAUAGGAGCGUCCACCGCAUGGUGGGUGUUGGAAAGAUUUAUCGGUUUUGGAUGGACUCGCGGCCUAUCAGCUUGUUGGUGGGGUAAUGGCCUACCAAGGCGACGACGGGUAGCCGGCCUGAGAGGGUGACCGGCCACACUGGGACUGAGACACGGCCCAGACUCCUACGGGAGGCAGCAGUGGGGAAUAUUGCACAAUGGGCGAAAGCCUGAUGCAGCGACGCCGCGUGCGGGAUGAUGGCCUUCGGGUUGUAAACCGCUUUCAGUAGGGACGAAGCUUUUGUGACGGUACCUA
Molecule: ribosomal RNA, 481 nt
Filed under: uncultured Micrococcaceae bacterium
Lineage: Bacteria; Bacillati; Actinomycetota; Actinomycetes; Micrococcales; Micrococcaceae
Description: bacterial SSU rRNA
Rfam family: Bacterial small subunit ribosomal RNA
Source: RNAcentral